Molecule: ribosomal RNA, 499 nt
Filed under: uncultured bacterium
Lineage: Bacteria
Description: partial 16S ribosomal RNA
Source: RNAcentral
GUAGUUAGCCGUGGCUUCCUCCUCAGGUACCGUCAUUAUCGUCCCUGAAGACAGAGCUUUACAAUCCGAAGACCGUCAUCACUCACGCGGCGUUGCUGGGUCAGGCUUGCGCCCAUUGCCCAAUAUUCCCCACUGCUGCCUCCCGUAGGAGUCUGGACCGUGUCUCAGUUCCAGUGUGGCCGAUCAGCCUCUCAGCUCGGCUACCCAUCGUCGGCUUGGUGGGCUGUUAUCUCACCAACUACCUAAUGGGACGCGAACCCCUCUUAUAGCGAUAAAUCUUUGACCUCUGUACCAUGCGGCACUGUGGUCUUAUGCGGUAUUAGCACUUGUUUCCAGGUGUUAUUCCCCACUAUAAGGCAGGUUGUUCACGCGUUACUCACCCGUUCGCCACUAAGAUAUCGUGUCUUCCAUCCGAAAACUUCCAACUCAAUAUCUCCGUUCGACUUGCAUGUGUUAGGCACGCCGCCAGCGUUCGUCCUGAACCAAGAUCAAAUUCUGA